RNAcentral lists this ribosomal RNA (253 nucleotides) under uncultured bacterium. RNAcentral's name for it is "partial 16S ribosomal RNA". It matches the Rfam family "Bacterial small subunit ribosomal RNA", at positions 524 to 776 of the family's 1533-position model. The record is from RNAcentral.
UACGGGGGGGGCAAGCGUUGUUCGGAAUUACUGGGCGUAAAGGGCUCGUAGGCGGCCAACUAAGUCGGAUGUGAAAUCCCCAGGCUUAACCUGGGAACUGCAUCCGAUACUGGAUGGCUUGAAUCCGGGAGAGGGAUGCAGAAUUCCAGGUGUAGCGGUGAAAUGCGUAGAUAUCUGGAGGAAUACCGGUGGCGAAGGCGGCAUCCUGGACCGGCAUUGACGCUGAUGAGCGAAAGCUAGGCGAGCAAACGGG